UACGGGAGGCAGCAGUGGGGAAUCUUCCGCAAUGGGCGAAAGCCUGACGGAGCAACGCCGCGUGAGUGAAGAAGGGUUUCGGCUCGUAAAGCUCUGUUGACGGGGACGAACGUGCGAGAUGCGAAUAGUUUCUUGCAAUGACGGUACCCGUCGAGGAAGCCACGGCUAACUACGUGCCAGCAGCCGCGGUAAU
This 193-nucleotide ribosomal RNA is filed under the name uncultured rumen bacterium. Its description in RNAcentral is "partial 16S ribosomal RNA". It matches the Rfam family "Bacterial small subunit ribosomal RNA", at positions 340 to 524 of the family's 1533-position model. The record is from RNAcentral.